Molecule: long non-coding RNA, 1452 nt
Filed under: Setaria italica (foxtail millet)
Lineage: Eukaryota; Viridiplantae; Streptophyta; Magnoliopsida; Poales; Poaceae
Description: long non-coding RNA (SITA_LNC001494)
Source: RNAcentral
GUUCAUCCGUCUUCUAUCGUGAAAGACUGGAAGUCGAUUAAACAAAAACACAUGCACCAGGAGCGGCCGUAUCGUGGGAGGACGACAAAAUUCAUACCUUGCGUGUGCCCAACUGUGCGCAGCAGCGGAUGGAUGGGCGCCGGCGCAUGCGACGUUUAGAGACAGGAGGCUCGGCUCAUUUUGGUAGCUUGCCUCUUGCAGUCCACGCCAACCAGCUGAAUUAAGUUAGCGUCCAUGUAAACCGGCUUGACUCCAGCCAAAACCGUGUCCAUAUCAGCAAAACAGGAUACAAAACCGUUUAGGGGUUAAUUUAACCCAGUAUUGAUAGGUGGAGCCAACAUUUAGGUUAGGAGGUGGGAUGGACAAACUGAGUAGUGAGAGGAGUAAAAUGGACCCUUUUUCCUCUGAUUUAAUUAGAAAGUUAUGAUCAAGAUAUGCAACAAAAUUACAAGCUUUGCUUGAUGGGCUGGGAAAUAAUUCGAUGAUCCGUAUGUUGAUUAGCUCCAGCAAUGAGUUAACUGAGCGCUACUUUAUUCCAUUGACAGGCAGAAGCACAGACGUCAGAUAUUAGCAGGUUCGCCUACACGGACGUAAUUAGUUCGUUUAUACGCCGUGUAAACCUUACACAGUGACCGGACGUAUCCAUUUAAUCACCUGUUUAGCAUGUCUAAUAUCCAUUUAACUUAUUUAAUUACUCAUUUAGUUGAAUAAAGAGCUAACCGGUAGUGGCCGACUGUUUAGCAUUUAUGAUGAAAUUAGAUAUUAAGAUUACCUAUCAUUUUACCCUCUUAAUCACUCUCUUAAUCAGCAUUAGCGUCUACUUAACCUUGACCCGUGACAUUUUGGCCCUGCAUCUGCAUGUACUCCCUUUGUCCCUUAGGCUAGUCCCAGUGCAAGGUUUCAUUGUACUGUUUCUAAGGAUGUCACGUCAUCCUAUGAGGUGUAUUCUCAUGAAUGAAACAGGGAGUCCCAGUGUACAGUUUCAUUUCACGAUUUCAUAGGAUGCUCAUGACAUUUAAUUGUGAGGUAUGUGAUUGGAUAUGGUUAGAUGGAAAUGAAACUCUAUAGUCCCCAAUGCAAGUUUCAAUAGGUUUCAUAGUCUUGGAAACAGUGUAUACACAGUUUCAUCCUGAUGAAACUCCUUCCCUCUCUCACUUCAUAACUACCAUGCCAUGUCAUCACAUAUGCUGAUGUGUCACCGUAUUUAAUGUGCAUGAAACCUUUAUCAAACUCCCACUGGGAUUAGCCUUAAUAUACAUCACCAUGGGAAACGUGCUGGUCACACUUUUUUAGUUUGACUACAUUAGUAGAAAACAUUAAUAACAUUUAUAUUUUUAAAUAAAUUUAUUAUGAAAAUGAAUUUAACGUUUUGUCUAAUGAUACUAAUUAUGUAUUAUAAAUAUUAAUUAUGUAUCAUAAAUAUUAAUAUUUUUUUAUAUAUAUUUGGUUAAA